CGUAGGGAGCGAGCGUUGUCCGGAAUUACUGGGCGUAAAGGGCGCGUAGGCGGGAUCUUAAGUUAGGUGUGAAAACUCCGGGCUCAACUCGGAGACUGCAUUUAAAACUGGGAUUCUUGAGGGCAGGAGAGGAAAGUGGAAUUCCUAGUGUAGCGGUGAAAUGCGUAGAUAUUAGGAGGAACACCAGUGGCGAAGGCGACUUUCUGGACUGUACCUGACGCUGAGGCGCGAAAGCGUGGGGAGCGAACGGGAUUAGAUACCCCGGUAGUCCACGCCGUAAACGAUGGGUACUAGGUGUAGGAGGUAUCGACCCCUUCUGUGCCGCAGUUAACGCAAUAAGUACCCCGCCUGGGGAGUACGGCCGCAAGGUUG
Molecule: ribosomal RNA, 372 nt
Filed under: uncultured organism
Description: bacterial SSU rRNA
Rfam family: Bacterial small subunit ribosomal RNA
Source: RNAcentral